RNAcentral lists this ribosomal RNA (590 nucleotides) under uncultured bacterium. RNAcentral's name for it is "partial 16S ribosomal RNA". It matches the Rfam family "Bacterial small subunit ribosomal RNA", at positions 355 to 1376 of the family's 1533-position model. The record is from RNAcentral.
UGGGGAAUAUUGCACAAUGGGCGCAAGCCUGAUGCAGCCAUGCCGCGUGUGUGAAGAAGGCCUUCGGGUUGUAAAGCACUUUCAGCGAGGAGGAAGGUGGUGAACUUAAUACGUUCAUCAAUUGACGUUACUCGCAGAAGAAGCACCGGCUAACUCCGUGCCAGCAGCCGCGGUAAUACGGAGGGUGCAAGCGUUAAUCGGAAUUACUGGGCGUAAAGCGCACGCAGGCGGUUUGUUAAGUCAGAUGUGAAAUCCCCGGGCUCAACCUGGGAACUGCAUUUGAAACUGGCAAGCUAGAGUCUCGUAGAGGGGGGUAGAAUUCCAGGUGUAACGGUGAAAUGUGUAGAGAUCUGGAGGAAUACCGGUGGCGAAGGCGGCCCCCUGGACGAAGACUGACGCUCAGGUGCGAAAGCGUGGGGAGCAAAACAGGAUUAGAUACCCUGGCUAGUCCACGCUGUAAACGAUGUCGAUUUGGAGGUUGUGCCCUUGAGGCGUGGCUUCCGGAGCUAACGCGUUAAAUCGACCGCCUGGGGAGUACGGCCAGCAGGUUAAAAUCUCAAAUGAAUUGACGGGGUCAUAGCUGUUUCCUG